Molecule: ribosomal RNA, 228 nt
Filed under: uncultured bacterium
Lineage: Bacteria
Description: partial 16S ribosomal RNA
Rfam family: Bacterial small subunit ribosomal RNA
Source: RNAcentral
GCAAGUCGAACGAUAAGCUUCUUCGGAAGUGGACAGUGGCAGACGGGUGAGUAACGCGUGGGGAUCUGCCCAGAGGUUCGGGACAACCAUUGGAAACGAUGGCUAAUACCGAAUAAGCCCGCAAGGGGAAAGAUUUAUUGCCUUUGGAUGAACCCGCGUAAGAUUAGCUUGUUGGUGAGGUAAUGGCUCACCAAGGCGACGAUCUAUAGCUGGUUUGAGAGGAUGAUC